Molecule: ribosomal RNA, 862 nt
Filed under: uncultured bacterium
Lineage: Bacteria
Description: bacterial SSU rRNA
Rfam family: Bacterial small subunit ribosomal RNA
Source: RNAcentral
AGGAUGAACGCUGGCGGCGUGCCUAACACAUGCAAGUCGAGCGAUUCUCUUCGGAGAAGAGCGGCGGACGGGUGAGUAACGCGUGGGUAACCUGCCCUGUACACACGGAUAACAUACCGAAAGGUAUGCUAAUACGAGAUAACAUACUUUUAUCGCAUGGUAGAAGUAUCAAAGCUCCGGCGGUACAGGAUGGACCCGCGUCUGAUUAGCUAGUUGGUAAGGUAACGGCUUACCAAGGCGACGAUCAGUAGCCGACCUGAGAGGGUGAUCGGCCACAUUGGAACUGAGACACGGUCCAAACUCCUACGGGAGGCAGCAGUGGGGAAUAUUGCACAAUGGGCGAAAGCCUGAUGCAGCAACGCCGCGUGAGCGAUGAAGGCCUUCGGGUCGUAAAGCUCUGUCCUCAAGGAAGAUAAUGACGGUACUUGAGGAGGAAGCUCCGGCUAACUACGUGCCAGCAGCCGCGGUAAUACGUAGGGGGCUAGCGUUAUCCGGAAUUACUGGGCGUAAAGGGUGCGUAGGUGGUUUCUUAAGUCAGAGGUGAAAGGCUACGGCUCAACCGUAGUAAGCCUUUGAAACUGGGAAACUUGAGUGCAGGAGAGGAGAGUGGAAUUCCUAGUGUAGCGGUGAAAUGCGUAGAUAUUAGGAGGAACACCAGUUGCGAAGGCGGCUCUCUGGACUGUAACUGACACUGAGGCACGAAAGCGUGGGGAGCAAACAGGAUUAGAUACCCUGGUAGUCCACGCCGUAAACGAUGAGUACUAGCUGUCGGAGGUUACCCCCUUCGGUGGCGCAGCUAACGCAUUAAGUACUCCGCCUGGGAAGUACGCUCGCAAGAGUGAAACUCAAAGGAAUUUGACGG